This is a long non-coding RNA of Lotus japonicus, 1222 nucleotides long. RefSeq lists it as uncharacterized. The transcript has 5 exons. Lineage: Eukaryota; Viridiplantae; Streptophyta; Magnoliopsida; Fabales; Fabaceae. The record is from RefSeq and is a predicted model, not a curated record.
UUUCCAAACACUUAACCAAUCCCUCAUGCUCGCACACUACCAUUUCCAAGCACUGAAACCUCUCACAUGGCCGCCGCCGCCCUCUUCUCUCAUCUCACCUUCCCUUCGCGUGUCUGAACAUGGCCGCCGCCGCCCUCUCCGCCCUCUCCUCUCAUCUCACCUUCCCGACGCGUGUCUGAAUCUUACAUGGCCGCCGCAGCCCUCUCUUCUCCACCGCUUGUCGCUCACAAACCACAAUAAGCUUAAGGGAAAGCUCCUCUCCUCUCCUCUCCACCGCCGCCGCCCUCAUCCUCCGUUGCCAGUUAAGGAAAACGAAAAGGGGUAAAGAAAACGAAAAGGGGCAAAAGCAACACAAGGAACAACAAGAGAUCCAGUUGUUGCCAGAACCAGAACACUAAGCCAAGAGGAACCAGUACAACUUUUAAUAUCAAGAAGCAUGGAUGUGCCUGAAAAUAGGAGAUGGAUGGAUAAGAUUGGAUUGUGAUAGGCAUGUGACUGAAGAAUUCAUUAUAGGAAUUCAUGAUUUUAUUAAGUAUCGAUUCCUUCAUCUGAGCACUUUAGGAGAUUAGAAAAUUCGACUGAAAAGAAACCUGAUCAUUGGGACUUAUUUGAAAGGUCUCACAAACUAAAAAAUGAUCCCACAAAAUGGGUUUCCCCAUUAGCAGAGCAGUUUGCGGUUGAUUUUGAAACACAAAUUGCUGCAAGAGACUCACAGGAGAAUGAAGAUGGUGCCCACAAAAAAUCAAAUGAUGACAUCUACUUAGAGGUUGUUGGGGGUGCGAACAAGAAGGGGCGGAUUUAUGGAUUAGGUGUAGAGGCUGGAAAGUUCAAAUGUUCUAAGGCCACAUCAUCUCAUGGCGUCUCACCCUCAGAGUAUGAGACAAUGAGAAAUAUUGUUUCUACUUUAACAGAGGAUAACAAGAAGCUAAAGGGAAAAAUGAAGACAUAUGAUGAAAAAUUUGAAUACAUGGACAGAUUCUUGGAGAGCUUUCCUCAAAGCCUGGCUUCACGCUCUAUUGAACAACCACCUACAUAUCAGCAUAACAUAGAUGAUGAAGAAUUAGAGGAUGAUUUGGAUGGUAUUUGAUUUAGAUGAAUAUAUGUAUUUGAUACUAUGUUUUUAAUUAUGCUUGACAUUUUAACAUGACUAUGUAUGGAUUCACUACUACGGUUCUGUAUGUUGAUGAACAUGAUAUAUAUUAGAUAUGAAACUUCAAAUCAA